CCUACGGGAGGCAGCAGUGGGGAAUUUUGGACAAUGGGGGCAACCCUGAUCCAGCCAUGCCGCGUGAGUGAAGAAGGCCUUCGGGUUGUAAAGCUCUUUCGGCCGGGAAGAAAUCGCACAGGCUAAUACCCUGUGUGGAUGACGGUACCGGCAUAAGAAGCACCGGCUAACUACGUGCCAGCAGCCGCGGUAAUACGUAGGGUGCGAGCGUUAAUCGGAAUUACUGGGCGUAAAGCGUGCGCAGGCGGUUAGAUAAGUUUGAUGUGAAAUCCCCGGGCUCAACCUGGGAACUGCAUUGAAGACUGUCUGACUAGAGUACGGCAGAGGGGGGUGGAAUUCCACGUGUAGCAGUGAAAUGCGUAGAGAUGUGGAGGAGCACCGAUGGCGAAGGCAGCCCCCUGGGCCGAUACUGACGCUCAUGCACGAAAGCGUGGGGAGCAAACAGGAUUAGAUACCCUGGUAGUCCACGCCCUAAACGAUGUCAACUAGUUGUUGGUAGGGUUAAACCUAUUAGUAACGUAGCUAACGCGUGAAGUUGACCGCCUGGGGAGUACGGUCGCAAGAUUAAAACUCAAAGGAAUUGACGG
Molecule: ribosomal RNA, 587 nt
Filed under: uncultured beta proteobacterium
Lineage: Bacteria; Pseudomonadati; Pseudomonadota; Betaproteobacteria
Description: bacterial SSU rRNA
Rfam family: Bacterial small subunit ribosomal RNA
Source: RNAcentral